UACGUAGGGUGCGAGCGUUAAUCGGAAUUACUGGGCGUAAAGCGUGCGCAGGCGGUGAUGUAAGACAGGGGUGAAAUCCCCGGGCUCAACCUGGGAACUGCAUCCGAGACUGCAUUGCUAGAGUAUGGGAGAGGAAAGCGGAAUUUCUGGUGUAGCAGUGAAAUGCGUAGAUAUCAGAAGGAACAUCAGUGGCGAAGGCGGCUUUCUGGACCAAUACUGACGAUCAGGUGCGAAAGCGUGGGGAGCAAACAGG
RNAcentral lists this ribosomal RNA (253 nucleotides) under uncultured bacterium. Its description in RNAcentral is "partial 16S ribosomal RNA". It matches the Rfam family "Bacterial small subunit ribosomal RNA", at positions 524 to 776 of the family's 1533-position model. The record is from RNAcentral.